RNAcentral lists this ribosomal RNA (385 nucleotides) under uncultured eukaryote. Its description in RNAcentral is "SSU rRNA". It matches the Rfam family "Eukaryotic small subunit ribosomal RNA", at positions 587 to 972 of the family's 1831-position model. RNAcentral also lists the same sequence under 1 other name. The record is from RNAcentral.
AGCUCCAAUAGCGUAUACUAAAGUUGUUGCGGUUAAAAAGCUCGUAGUUGGAUCUUGGAAUGUGAACGCGAGGUCGCUUUACUGAGUGAACUUUGUGGCGCAUUCUUCCAUUUGGUCGGUGUGUUUGUGCUCUUAAUUGAGUGCAACAUGCUACCAGAAAUUUUACCUUGAAAAAAUUAGAGUGUUCAAAGCAGACCUUUUUGUGUCUGAAUAUUCGUGCAUGGAAUAAUAAAAUAUGAAUUCGGUUCUAUUUUAUUGGUUUUCGGAACUCGAGUUAAUGAUUAAGAGGGACAGACGGGGGCAUCCGUACUCUGCCGUUAGAGGUGAAAUUCUUGGAUCGGCGGAAGACGCGCAACUGCGAAAGCAUUUGCCAAGAAUGUUUUCU